CAGGUAGUCAAGAUGAGAAUUCUAAGGUGAGCGAGCGAACUCUCGUUAAGGAACUCGGCAAAAUGACCCCGUAACUUCGGGAGAAGGGGUGCUCUUUAGGGUUAACGCCCAGAAGAGCCGCAGUGAAUAGGCCCAAGCGACUGUUUAUCAAAAACACAGGUCUCUGCUAAACCGUAAGGUGAUGUAUAGGGGCUGACGCCUGCCCGGUGCUGGAAGGUUAAGAGGAGUGGUUAGCUUCUGCGAAGCUACGAAUCGAAGCCCCAGUAAACGGCGGCCGUAACUAUAACGGUCCUAAGGUAGCGAAAUUCCUUGUCGGGUAAGUUCCGACCCGCACGAAAGGCGUAACGAUUUGGGCACUGUCUCAACGAGAGACUCGGUGAAAUCAUAGUACCUGUGAAGAUGCAGGUUACCCGCGACAGGACGGAAAGACCCCGUGGAGCUUUACUGUAGCCUGAUAUUGAAAUUCGGCACAGCUUGUACAGGAUAGGUAGGAGCCUUUGAAACGUGAGCGCUAGCUUACGUGGA
RNAcentral lists this ribosomal RNA (525 nucleotides) under Staphylococcus aureus. Its description in RNAcentral is "partial 23S ribosomal RNA". It matches the Rfam family "Bacterial large subunit ribosomal RNA", at positions 1660 to 2184 of the family's 2925-position model. Lineage: Bacteria; Bacillati; Bacillota; Bacilli; Caryophanales; Staphylococcaceae. The record is from RNAcentral.